AGAGGAGGGCGUGGUCCCCAGCUAGGGCUUCAUCCCUGGGCCUGGGCCUACCUAGGUGAAGACAGGCAUUUUUGUUUUCCUGCCCGGAUGUUGCAUUUCCCAAGACCACCCUGGCCUGCCAUGCCCUCAUCCUGUGCCUUUAAAAACCCCCGAGACCCUGGCAGGCAGACGCACAAGCAGCUGGACAUUGAGAGGAGCAUAUAGGCAGAGAAUACAGGGGCUGCUGGAUGUCGAAAGGAACGCACCAGCAUAGGAGCACACCGGCAUGCUGGCAGGCCAUUGACCAGCGGAAGAAUGCAGAGUUUGUCGCGGGAGGUCAGAGAAGAGUCAGGCCGCCAUACCUGACUCCAGGAGAAAACCGUCUCCCUUCUGGUUCCCCCGUCUGCCGAGAGCUACUUCCACUCAAUAAAACUUUCCACUCAUUCUUCAAGCCCACGUGUGAUCCAAUUCUUCCCGUACACCAAGGUCUCGCUGUGUUUCCCAGGCUGGGUGCAGUGGCUAUUCAAAGGUACAAUGAUAGCUCACUGCAGCCUGGAACUCCUGGACUCAAGCGAUCCUCCUGCCUCAGCUGCGACUAACAGUGCUGGUAAUGAUGUAUACCUGGCAGCUGACCGUCAAAUCUUAUGAAGGAUUAAAACAUAAAGUUUGCAUUAAAGGUCAAAACAGUCACAAGCCUGCUCAAAUUCGGAAAGAGGGGACGGAAAUGGAACCUCUUCAUGGGAGGAAGAAACAGGGUCUUGCUCUGUUGCCCUGGCUGGAGUGCAAUGAGAUAGGAUCAUGCUAUGUUGCCCAAGCUGGUCUUGAACUUCUGGCCUCCAGCAGUCCUCCUGCCUGAGCCUCCCAAGUAGCUGGGAUUACAGGCAUGAGCCACCAGUCCUGGCAGAUUUGUUAAUUUCUUUGAAUUAUUAUAUAUUUUUAAGUUUACUUCCAUGUAUUUGACUUUUUGUGUGCUUAU
RNAcentral lists this long non-coding RNA (955 nucleotides) under Homo sapiens (human). RNAcentral describes it as "PREDICTED lncRNA (TCONS_00204061)". Lineage: Eukaryota; Metazoa; Chordata; Mammalia; Primates; Hominidae. The record is from RNAcentral.